This 253-nucleotide ribosomal RNA is filed under the name uncultured bacterium. RNAcentral's name for it is "partial 16S ribosomal RNA". It matches the Rfam family "Bacterial small subunit ribosomal RNA", at positions 524 to 776 of the family's 1533-position model. The record is from RNAcentral.
UACAGAGGGGGCAAGCGUUAUUCGGAAUUAUUGGGCGUAAAGGGCGCGUAGGCGGCUUGGCAAGUGGAAGGUGAAAUCCCUCGGCUUAACCGAGGAACUGCCUUCCAGACUGCUUUGCUUGAGGCCGGGAGAGGUGAGUGGAAUUCCAGGUGUAGCGGUGAAAUGCGUAGAUAUCUGGAGGAACACCGGUGGCGAAGGCGGCAUCCUGGACCGGUAUUGACGCUGAGGCGCGAAAGCUAGGGGAGCAAACGGG